Molecule: unclassified non-coding RNA, 587 nt
Filed under: Hevea brasiliensis (rubber tree)
Lineage: Eukaryota; Viridiplantae; Streptophyta; Magnoliopsida; Malpighiales; Euphorbiaceae
Source: RNAcentral
UAUUUAUAUGGAAACAAAAAGGUUACACUGCUACUACUGUGAUCAUUCACAGUACAUAACCCUUUCUUUCUCUCUUUCCCAUUUUUUUUUCUACUCAAACGAACAGAUUCAAAAGUUUCUUCCUAUCGCCACCACUGCUCUUAAAGGUCGUCGUCUCUGAUGAUUCUUUGGUGUAAAACGACACCGCAUCUCUGCCUUUCUUCUCUCUCCCAGCUCUACCUGAUGCCAAAAGCUUUGGCGGGAGAGAGAGAUUGAAAACGGACGCUUGAUUCUCCCUCGCCAUAUUAGUGUAAGGCUUUGAUUGUUUCCACGUGUUUCGUAACUCGCAUGCCUCCGCAGAGAAACUGACAGAAGACGACUCAUCGUAAUUUGGCGCCAAGACUCCGGAGUGAAUUCCCGGUAUCGGCCGCAGAAUUCCACCGGAGAGAACCGUCUCCACCGCCGCCUGGCACACGUGCCAGUUCCCGCUCCACAACAGUCCCACCGCUCCGUUUACUGGAUUCACGGUUCGCCCGCACGCCUCAAACAACAAGGAUUGAAACAAAGCUGGCCGUUGGGAUUCCGGCACGGCGGAGAUGAGGGACAUG